GAUGAACGCUGGCGGCGUGCCUAACACAUGCAAGUCGAACGGAGAUUACGGACGGAAGUUUUCGGAUGGAAGACUGUAAUUCUUAGUGGCGGACGGGUGAGUAACGCGUGGGCAACCUGCCCUAUACAGGGGGAUAGCAGCUGGAAACGGCUGGUAAGACCGCAUAAGUCGGUUAAAUCGCAUGAUUUGAUCGGGAAAUGAGCAAUCAGGUAUAGGAUGGGCCCGCGUCCGAUUAGCCAGUUGGCAGGGUAAAAGCCUACCAAAGCGACGAUCGGUAGCCGGACUGAGAGGUCGGACGGCCACAUUGGGACUGAGACACGGCCCAAACUCCUACGGGAGGCAGCAGUGGGGGAUAUUGCACAAUGGAGGAAACUCUGAUGCAGCAACGCCGCGUGAGUGAAGAAGUAUUUCGGUAUGUAAAGCUCUAUCAGCAGGGAAGAUGAUGACGGUACCUGACUAAGAAGCCCCGGCUAACUACGUG
RNAcentral lists this ribosomal RNA (481 nucleotides) under uncultured bacterium. RNAcentral describes it as "partial 16S ribosomal RNA". It matches the Rfam family "Bacterial small subunit ribosomal RNA", at positions 28 to 507 of the family's 1533-position model. The record is from RNAcentral.